RNAcentral lists this ribosomal RNA (548 nucleotides) under Conus distans. RNAcentral's name for it is "partial 16S ribosomal RNA". It matches the Rfam family "Bacterial large subunit ribosomal RNA", at positions 1802 to 2619 of the family's 2925-position model. Lineage: Eukaryota; Metazoa; Mollusca; Gastropoda; Neogastropoda; Conidae. The record is from RNAcentral.
GUUUACCAAAAACAUGGCUUCAUGUUAAACCUAAAAUAUGAAGUCGGACCUGCCCAGUGAGUUUUAAACGGCCGCGGUACUCUGACCGUGCAAAGGUAGCAUAAUCAUUUGCCUUAUAAUUGAAGGCUGGAAUGAAUGGUUUGACAAGAAUAUAACUGUCUCUCUAUGACUACUUAGAAUUUUAUUUUUGGAUGAAAAAGUCCAGAUUAAAUUAAAAGACAAGAAGACCCUAUCGAGCUUUAGAGAAAUUAGAGGAUUUAAAUUAAUUAAUAUUUUAUAAAAAAUAGACUUCUAUAAACAUUGGUUGGGGCAACCUGGGAGUAUAUAAAGCCUCCUUUAAUUGUAUAAGUCUUACAAGUAUUGAUCCAAACUUUUUGAUCAAAGGAAUUAGUUACCGUAGGGAUAACAGCAUUAUCUUUUUUGAGAGCCCAUAUCGAAAAAAAGGUUUGUGACCUCGAUGUUGGACCAGAAUGUCCUGAAGAUGCAGAAGUCUUCAAGGGUUGGUCUGUUCGACCAUUAAAAUUCUACGUGAUCUGAGUUCAGACCGG